GGUGAACGCUGGCGGCGUGCCUAAUACAUGCAAGUCGAGCGAACAGACGAGGAGCUUGCUCCUCUGACGUUAGCGGCGGACGGGUGAGUAACACGUGGAUAACCUACCUAUAAGACUGGGAUAACUUCGGGAAACCGGAGCUAAUCCCGGAUAAUCUCUUGAACCGCAUGGUGCAAUGGUGAAAGACGGUUUUGCUGUCACUAAUAGCUGGUUCCGAGCCGGAUUGGCUAGUUGGUACGGUCAAGGCUUACCAAGGCAACUAUGCGUAACCGACCUGUGGGGGUGGUCGGCCACCCUGGAACUGAGCCACGGUCCAGACUCCUACGGGAGGCAGCAGUAGGGUAUCUUCCGCAAUGGGCGAAAGCCUGACGCAGCAACGCCGCGUGAGUGAUGAAGGUCUUCGGAUCGUAAAACUCUGUUAUUAGGGAAGAACAAAUGUGUAAGUAACUAUGCACGUCUUGACGGUACCUAAUCAGAAAGCCACGGCUAACUACGUG
Molecule: ribosomal RNA, 497 nt
Filed under: uncultured bacterium
Lineage: Bacteria
Description: partial 16S ribosomal RNA
Rfam family: Bacterial small subunit ribosomal RNA
Source: RNAcentral